UAUGCAUACUUCUACGACUACAGUAGUCAUCAUGCUAGAGGCAGAUGAAGUUGAAGUAGUGAUUGAUCCGAAGGACAUUGAACUGACUACUGCAAGAUCUGGGGGCGCAGGAGGGCGAAAUGUCAACAAGGUGGAGACAGCAAUUGAUCUUUCCCCAAGCCGACAGGAAACCACAUUUUUUGCACUGAAGAAAGGACUCAACUUGAGAAUAAGAUUCGGGCUUUUCUAUUGCUA
Long non-coding RNA from Cucumis sativus (cucumber), 234 nucleotides. RefSeq lists it as uncharacterized. Lineage: Eukaryota; Viridiplantae; Streptophyta; Magnoliopsida; Cucurbitales; Cucurbitaceae. The transcript is spliced from 3 exons. The record is from RefSeq and is a predicted model, not a curated record.